This 925-nucleotide long non-coding RNA is filed under the name Equus asinus (donkey). RNAcentral's name for it is "lncRNA (ENSEASG00005032057.1)". Lineage: Eukaryota; Metazoa; Chordata; Mammalia; Perissodactyla; Equidae. The record is from RNAcentral.
UUUUGGUGUCCUCUGGGCAGCCACUCCGGGUGUCCAUGAGUCACAGAGCCACUCCUUAACCCCUGGUCCUGCUCGCGGUGGAGAAGAGAAUUCCAUUUACAACAACCAAGUUUCUAAGAACUGAGGUGCCUCGGUUGUUAAUGCUAUCUUCACACAAUGAUUGCAGUCUUGUUUACAGAUGAGAAAACAGAAACUCAAGAGGCAAAGCCAGGUGCCCAAGGACAGAACCAGGAGGCCAGGCUGAACUGGACCUGGAGACCCUGAGGCCCAUCCUGUCUUCACCGUGUCCCGCUGCAGCCACGGCCACCCUAGCUGGAGACCAGGUUGUGCUUUAAAAGCAAGCUGGAAAGCAGACAGCACACCACCCCUCUCCUGGCGCCGGUUCUACUCCAGACUGUGGGCCGGAAGCUCGAGAGCUCGCCCUCGGGCUGUCUUCUGUGUUUUUCUUUCCCUAAAAAAUUCAAAGCACCUUAAUCUCAGACCCAGAGUGGGUCCUCGCCCUGAGCCCCCAGGGCAGCUGCACUCGUCCCACGUCCGUGACAUCUUUCUACACAUCUGGGACGAACGGCCCUGUCGUGUGCGAAGUCUCCCACCCACUGGGAGCCGGAUGAGUCACAGCUGAACAGAGCCAGGGGGCGGAGGAGUGCGGCCGCGCGGAGGGACGCAGAGGACCGUGCCCACGGUGGGACUGGCGCCAGGACGUCGGUCCCUUCCCCUCCUCCCCCCUCCCUUCCUCCUUCCUCCCGCCUCCCUCCUCCUUGCUCCUUUUCUGCUUCUUUUCUCCUUCUUCCUUCCUUACUCUUUCCUCCCUGUUCCUCCCUCCUUCCUCCUCCUUUCCUCUUUUCUCCCUUCCCUCCUCCUCCCUUCCUUCUUUGCCUUGACAUUUUCGGCGUUUUAUAAAAUAAGUUCAUAAAGCCUGUUCACA